AAAAAAAAAAGAAAAAAAGAAAGAAAAGGAAAAAAGAGGAAAAGAAAAAAAAAGAAGAUAAAGAAGGGAAUAAGGAUUUAAAGAAUUAUUAAAGAGGUGAUUAUUAAAAUGUAGAUUAUAUUGUAUUAUGAAUCAAUGUGACGGUGCGAGAACAUUGUGAUCAAGGAUGAACCGUGCGUGUUCAUGCACCUUUUCGAUGUACAUAGGUGCUAGUUUUGUACAUAAUUAUAUCACAUCGUAUGCGUGAUCCUUUUUAUUUUAUAUUUUUCUACGAAUCGCGUGAGACUUAAGGAAUUUUCUUCUCAAAUAUUCUUUGCAACCGUGUGCUUGAUUUUUUCAUGGAUCAUUUUCCAUUUGUAUAUUCGUUUUAAGGGAACGAUAUUGAUCUCAAUCGACAAGCCACGAAACUUUUCUUCUUUAUGACGUUGACUACGAAUGAUAUCUUUCUUUCUCUUUUCUUCCUUUUUUUUUUUUUCGCGUCAGACGGUUUCAACGGUUGCGCGAACGCCGAGACAUAUUUAUCUGCGUGAUAAAGAGAGGAAAGAUUCAUUUUUUACUGCGUCUAAGGUAAUUCGGUUUUGUCCUUGGUCACGAUGAUCAUAAAUGGAGCCUGCUCUACAUUAUUGUACUAUAAAGUGAAAGAGUCUUGCCAAAUAGCCGCGCCACUGCCUCGACAUUUACUUUUGUUUUAUUAAGUGAACGAAUGGAGAUUGAAAAUUUCAAUUUCGCGUAUAACACAUUUUUUCCUCUCUUGAAAAAAAAUAAAAAAGAAAAAAAAAAAAAAAAAAUAAUUGUCGAACAGUGUCGUAGUGUUACGUGUGUCAGGCUCCUCUUUCUUUCUUUUUCCUUAUGCAAUCGAAUAUUGCAUAAUGUUGUAAAUAGAGAAUUAAUUGUCAACACACGGAAUAUCGAAAGAAUAUCGAUGAAGAGGGAAGAGAUAAAAGGAACCGUUUGUUAUACUUAAUUUAAUUGUAGGACCAAAAAACGUUUGAUGAUUCGUUAUUGUGUAAAGGACACCAUCGUUCGAGUGUAAUUUCUAAAUGUUUUAAUAAUAAAAAAAAGCUGCGUAAAAAGUCACGGAGCUAAAGGACUACUCUUCGAAAUUGAAUAAAGUCUUCGAAGAUGAAACUUUCUUCAUGGAUCAUUAGUGAACCAUAAUAAUGAAUGAAAAAUGCAAAUUUCUUCAUGGGUUAUCGGUUAAUCUAUGACAUAAAAUUCAUCAAAGGAAAAUGAAAAUUUCGUCUGGAUCACUAGUGAAUCAUAAUAUUUAUGAAAAUGGAUAUAUUUUUUUUGUGAGUGUCAUUGACGAUCUAUGAUCAGUCACCGAAGAUUAAAAAUGCAAAUUGAAAUUGAAAAAAAAAAAAAAAGUGAAAUUUUCAUUCAUCAGAAAGUGUGAAUGUUAAGUAUGAAUGUUAUGAAUUUAAUAAUACUCCUAUUUUAUUAGAAUUUAAUAUAUUUGUUUUGUAAUUUAAUUUUUUAAUUUAAUCCUUAAAAUAUUUAAAAAAAAUUUCUGUUUUUCUCAGGAUAUAGGAAUAUAAGAAAAAAAAAAAAAAAGAAGAAAAAAGGGAGAAAGAGAAAAUGAAAAGAAGAAAAAAUAGUUCAAUUGCUUAACGUUUUGAGCACAUUCAGAUUUUAUUUAGUCGUGUGCGAUAGUCUUUGACAGGCAUAUUUUCAUACAUAGUAGCUAUAUCAAAAGACUAGAAACCAGUUUCACUCUUGUUACAAUGGAUUCUCAUGUUCGUUUUUUUUUUUUUUUUAAACACAGCACUCUCGAAUUAUCUUGAAUAUUAAUUGAUUUUUGUACGUACUAUCUAUUUAUAUCACGUAUCUCGCUUGUGUAUUUUUUGUUUCACCAAGAAAAUAUCUGUUUUUGUAAAAUGCCAUUGCUAUUCACGACAAAAUUUUAUCUAUUACUUCAUCAUGAAUAAGUUAAAAAUUAGUAAACAGAAGAUUCUUUGGAUUUUUUUUUCUCGUUUUUUCCUUCUAUGGAUUAUUAAUCAAAUAACAGAAAAAUAGAAAAAAAAAGAAAAAAAGAAUACGUCAAUUUUUGCAAAGAUCCGUGUAAAGAAAAAAAGAAGAGAAGAAGGGAUGAAAAAAUAACAAAUAACAAAUAAUCUUUCAAUUCCAAGAAUGCGAGAUCGCGUGAUCAUUUUCUGCGUCAGAGAUGCAAUUUUUGGAUUGGCUUGAAUGAUGCAACGAAAUCGUUAAUUUAAUAGGCAUUGAUUUACCUUGGUUAUCAUUCGUUAAUGUCGUCGAUUGAUUCCACGCGUCAUCUUGGAAACGAGUGGGAUAGAAAUACGAUGUGUCAUCCAAGAGUUUUAUUCUCUUUUUUUUUCUUUUUUCUUUUUUUUUUUAUUAUAAAUUUGCAUCAUAUUUUUCUUUAUUUUUCUUCUUUUCCUUUUUCUUUAAUAUAUAAAAAUGCCCAUCUUUCGGCGUUACUUUUUUUCAAAAAUUUCGAUAUCCAUUCUUUUAUUUUUCACCAGUUUUAUCCAUCGGAUUAUCCUAAUUAACGUAUCGAGAUGUAAUACAAAAAAGAUUGUCAAAAUUGAAUCCGUGCACCAUCGCUUAUUCUUUCAAUUUCUCGUUCUCUUCUCUUCUCUUCUCUUCUCUUCUCUUUCUCUUCUCCACGGUAAAAUUCGACAAAGGUCGUCUAACUUAUCGCCAGUCUAACUAACUAGCCAUUGACUACUCGUCUAACGUGUUUUUUUCUAAAGACUCGACGACAGUCUUGGGAUUAAAAUCUGCAAACUUUCAGCCUUCGACUCGGUGAUCCUAAAUGUAUCUUCGUCUAUUCGAGCAAAUGUUUGAUUUCACAUUACUUUCUUGACUUUUGAUUUUCUAGGCAGAUGGACAGCAAUCACAGCAGAUAAAUCACACCAUGUACCGUUUCAUUCCAUCGACUGAUUCCAAGCUUUUCCAACUCAGAAGCUUUCCCCUCUUCGGUCGUGUACAGUCAUUGUACUUCCCAGAAUUACAUCCUCUAAAAUCUUCCUGAUGAAUCUCACAGAAUCUACAGGUAUGCUCUCAAGAGUGGUGGACGUAAGCCGUCAAAUGAGCAAGCACAAUUUAUUCCGACUCUUCCUGUCAGGAAUCAGGGCCUUGGAUUUGGCAGCGUCCUCUGGAGCGUUUCUCGCGUAAAUUGGCCUGCUAAGUCUGUGC
RNAcentral lists this long non-coding RNA (3159 nucleotides) under Apis florea (little honeybee). Its description in RNAcentral is "uncharacterized LOC116414805". The record is from RNAcentral. Lineage: Eukaryota; Metazoa; Arthropoda; Insecta; Hymenoptera; Apidae.